GACGAACGCUGGCGGCGUGCUUAACACAUGCAAGUCGAACGGAAAGGCCCCUUCGGGGGUACUCGAGUGGCGAACGGGUGAGUAACACGUGGGUGAUCUGCCCUGCACUUCGGGAUAAGCCUGGGAAACUGGGUCUAAUACCGGAUAGGACCACGGGAUGCAUGUCCUGUGGUGGAAAGCUUUUGCGGUGUGGGAUGGGCCCGCGGCCUAUCAGCUUGUUGGUGGGGUGACGGCCUACCAAGGCGACGACGGGUAGCCGGCCUGAGAGGGUGUCCGGCCACACUGGGACUGAGAUACGGCCCAGACUCCUACGGGAGGCAGCAGUGGGGAAUAUUGCACAAUGGGUGCAAGCCUGAUGCAGCGACGCCGCGUGGGGGAUGACGGCCUUCGGGUUGUAAACCUCUUUCAGCAGGGACGAAGCGCAAGUGACGGUACCUGCAGAAGAAGCACCGGCCAACUACGUGCCAGCAGCCGCGGUAAUACGUAGGGUGCGAGCGUUGUCCGGAAUUACUGGGCGUAAAGAGCUCGUAGGUGGUUUGUCGCGUUGUUCGUGAAAACCGGGGGCUUAACCCUCGGCGUGCGGGCGAUACGGGCAGACUGGAGUACUGCAGGGGAGACUGGAAUUCCUGGUGUAGCGGUGGAAUGCGCAGAUAUCAGGAGGAACACCGGUGGCGAAGGCGGGUCUCUGGGCAGUAACUGACGCUGAGGAGCGAAAGCGUGGGGAGCGAACAGGAUUAGAUACCCUGGUAGUCCACGCCGUAAACGGUGGGUACUAGGUGUGGGUUUCCUUCCUUGGGAUCCGUGCCGUAGCUAACGCAUUAAGUACCCCGCCUGGGGAGUACGGCCGCAAGGCUAAAACUCAAAGGAAUUGACGGGGGCCCGCACAAGCGGCGGAGCAUGUGGAUUAAUUCGAUGCAACGCGAAGAACCUUACCUGGGUUUGACAUGCACAGGACGCCGGCAGAGAUGUCGGUUCCCUUGUGGCCUGUGUGCAGGUGGUGCAUGGCUGUCGUCAGCUCGUGUCGUGAGAUGUUGGGUUAAGUCCCGCAACGAGCGCAACCCUUGUCUCAUGUUGCCAGCGGGUAAUGCCGGGGACUCGUGAGAGACUGCCGGGGUCAACUCGGAGGAAGGUGGGGAUGACGUCAAGUCAUCAUGCCCCUUAUGUCCAGGGCUUCACACAUGCUACAAUGGCCGGUACAAAGGGCUGCGAUGCCGCGAGGCAUAGCGAAUCCUUUUAAAGCCGGUCUCAGUUCGGAUCGGGGUCUGCAACUCGACCCCGUGAAGUCGGAGUCGCUAGUAAUCGCAGAUCAGCAACGCUGCGGUGAAUACGUUCCCGGGCCU
RNAcentral lists this ribosomal RNA (1340 nucleotides) under uncultured bacterium. Its description in RNAcentral is "bacterial SSU rRNA". It matches the Rfam family "Bacterial small subunit ribosomal RNA", at positions 28 to 1381 of the family's 1533-position model. The record is from RNAcentral.